RNAcentral lists this ribosomal RNA (481 nucleotides) under uncultured bacterium. RNAcentral describes it as "bacterial SSU rRNA". It matches the Rfam family "Bacterial small subunit ribosomal RNA", at positions 501 to 985 of the family's 1533-position model. The record is from RNAcentral.
CUACGUGCCAGCAGCCGCGGUAAUACGGAAGGUCCAGGCGUUAUCCGGAUUUAUUGGGUUUAAAGGGAGCGUAGGCUGGAGAUUAAGUGUGUUGUGAAAUGUAGACGCUCAACGUCUGAAUUGCAGCGCAUACUGGUUUCCUUGAGUACGCACAACGUUGGCGGAAUUCGUCGUGUAGCGGUGAAAUGCUUAGAUAUGACGAAGAACUCCGAUUGCGAAGGCAGCUGACGGGAGCGCAACUGACGCUUAAGCUCGAAGGUGCGGGUAUCGAACAGGAUUAGAUACCCUGGUAGUCCGCACAGUAAACGAUGGAUGCCCGCUGUUGGUACCUGGUAUCAGCGGCUAAGCGAAAGCAUUAAGCAUCCCACCUGGGGAGUACGCCGGCAACGGUGAAACUCAAAGGAAUUGACGGGGGCCCGCACAAGCGGAGGAACAUGUGGUUUAAUUCGAUGAUACGCGAGGAACCUUACCCGGGCUUGAA